GUUUGCAUGUAGGGGGACCGGUGUUGCCGGUUGAGAUUGUAUCCGUAAGAUACUGACCCUUAGAACCUGAACUGGUUAGAACCAGCGUAGGGAACAUAUGAGAUGAUGAA
Molecule: non-coding RNA, 110 nt
Filed under: Gracilibacillus halophilus
Lineage: Bacteria; Bacillati; Bacillota; Bacilli; Caryophanales; Bacillaceae
Also listed under: 1 other name
Description: TPP sequence
Rfam family: TPP riboswitch aptamer (THI element)
About the family: Vitamin B(1) in its active form thiamin pyrophosphate (TPP) is an essential coenzyme that is synthesised by coupling of pyrimidine and thiazole moieties in bacteria. The previously detected thiamin-regulatory element, thi box was extended, resulting in a new, highly conserved RNA secondary structure, the THI element, which is widely distributed in eubacteria and also occurs in some archaea.
Source: RNAcentral